UGGAACUUCCCUACCCUUGUACUGGGGAAUCCCUUUACUCUCUCCGGGGGUCCAAGAGGGCAAUUGAAGAUCCCCAGUAUAAGUCUCUUGGGAAGAAAAAGGCAGAAUCCAGGACAAUGCAGGAAGUAUGUCAUAUGGCCACUCAUAGAUGCAAGAAAAACUA
Suricata suricatta (meerkat) is the source of this 163-nucleotide long non-coding RNA. RefSeq lists it as uncharacterized. The transcript has 3 exons. NCBI's taxonomy places the organism in Eukaryota, Metazoa, Chordata, Mammalia, Carnivora, Herpestidae. The record is from RefSeq and is a predicted model, not a curated record.